GCGAGACGCCGUCUCAAAAUAAAAACCAAAAACAAACAAAUAAAAACAACCAAACAACAAAAAAGUAGUAUACUCACAUAUUAUUAUUCAAUAUUAAAGUGGAGGAAAAUUCUGGCAAAUCCUGCAACAUGGAUAAACCUUGAAGGCAUUACAGAAGUGAAUUAAGUCAGCCACAAAAUGACAAAUAUUGUAUGAUUCCACUUUUAAGAGGCACAAGAGUAGUCAAGUUCAUAGAGACAGAAAACAGAAUGGUGAUUGAUGGGCACUGGGAAGAGGGGAGGGAUGAAGUUGUUAUUUAAUGGGCAUAGGGUUUUAGUUUGGGAUGAUUACAAAGUUCUGGUGAUGGUUGCACAUGAGUUUGAAUGGAGUUAAUGCCACUGAAUGGUUCAUCUAAAAAUGGCUAAAAUACUAGAUCUUAUGUUAUACAUAUUUCACUACAACACAGAAUUUGAGAAGUUGAUUCUAAAAUUCAUGAAAAUGUAGAGGAUGUAGAAUAGCAGGCGGAAAAAAAAAGCUUUUUUUUUUUUUUGAGACAGGGUCUUCCUCUGUCACCCAGGCUGGAGUGCAGUGGCAUGAUCACAGGUCACUGCAGGCUUGACCUCUUGGGCUCAAUCGAUCCUCCCACCUCAGCUUCCCAAGUAACUGGGAGUACAGGCAUGUGCCACCACACCCAGCUAAUUUUUGUGUUCAAAAUUUUGAAUAAGACUGGCAUUGAAGGAAAAAGCUACAAUAAUCAAGGUAGUGUGGUAUUGGUUGACAGAUAGAUACAAAAAUAAAGGAAUAGAAUAGAAAGUACAGAAAUAGACCCACACAAAUAUCAUCAAUUGAUUCCUAACAAAAUUGUGAAGGCAAUCAGUGGAGAAAGUAUAGUUUUUUCAAGAAAUGGUACUAAACAAUUCACAUACAUAUGCCGAAAAAAACCCCAAAACUUAAACCCAUUAUGCUAAAAUUGACUCAAAAUGGAUUAUAGGGAUACUUCCAAACUCAUAUUAUGAGACCAGUAUCACUCUGAUACUAAAACCAGGCAAAGGCAUUAGCAGAAGCCAGGCACAGUGGCUCACGCCUGCAAUCCUGGCAUUUUGGGAGACCACAGCGGGAGGAUCGUUUAAGGCCAGGAGAUUGAGACCAGCCCGGGCAACUUGGCAAGACUUCAUCUCUACAAAAAUAAUUUUUUUUUUUAAUUGGCUGGGUGUGGUGGUGCAGCUCUGCAGCCCCAGCUACUCAGGAGGCUGAGGCAGGAGGAUCACUUGAGGGUAGGAGACUGAGUCUGCAGUGAGCUGUUUUCAUAUCACUGUACUCCAGCCUGGGCAACAGACUGAGUCCCUAUCUCAAAAAAAAAAAAAAAAAAAAA
RNAcentral lists this long non-coding RNA (1351 nucleotides) under Macaca fascicularis (crab-eating macaque). RNAcentral's name for it is "lncRNA (ENSMFAG00000056406.1)". The record is from RNAcentral. Lineage: Eukaryota; Metazoa; Chordata; Mammalia; Primates; Cercopithecidae.